Molecule: long non-coding RNA, 953 nt
Filed under: Homo sapiens (human)
Lineage: Eukaryota; Metazoa; Chordata; Mammalia; Primates; Hominidae
Description: HSALNT0002524
Source: RNAcentral
UCAGGAGUGAUCAAGCCAGAGCUUUUGGAUAAUUCCUGGCUGUCAUUGCCCAGUUUCUUGAGGGACUCUGCUGGGAAUAAUCAAGUCCUGAGAAGGGUCCUCUCCUGGAGUUCGAGGUGAGGGGAUUAGCUGGGAUCUGGAUCCUCAGAACAAGAGACGGAGAAGAGGCCAGGACCCGAGCUGGCUCCGUGCAUGCUGAGAGGGGCCCAAUUCCCCUCACCUGGUCUGGGGACUGUGAGCUCUCAUUGCUCCCCAGUAACCUCAGCCCCACUUGGGUUUUCAUUUUGGAAAAGUCAACUUUCUCUAAAUAGCUUCCUGGAGAAGAUUGAGGGGAGGGCAGGGCUGGACUAGCCAUGUGACUUUGGGCAAAUAACUUAGCUUCUCUGAGCUUGGGUUUCAUCAUCUGUGAGCCUCACCUUAGGUCUUUUUGGCUGCUGUAACACAUUACUGCAAACUUAGUGACUUAAAACAACGCACAUUUAUUCUUCCAAAGUUCUGGAGGCCGGAAGUCCAAAUCGGCUACCAAUGGGCUGAAAUCAAGAUCUUGAGCCCUUCAGGGGCUGAGGUUGAAUCUGGUACAACAUCUCUGCCUGUAUCUGGUGCCCAGCCUAGAAGCUGGUGUAGAUGAGGGGCCAGGAAAGGGAUGGAGGAUCCUGCAGCAUGGCCUGGGAAUUCAGGACUUCAACGACAAUGAAGAAGAAAUACUGCCAAGAGCUGAGGUACCACUGGCAUCACUUGGGCCUGUGCCAUUCUGCCCACAUCCCCUUGGAAGUACAGAAUGGAGUACAGAAUCCCCCUCCUAUCUGGACUAGGCAGGGAGUUGAGGUGUGAUGAGGCCUUGCCAGCCGCUCUUCAUGGUGGGAAUACAUUCAAAUCCAGCCUCACCUGGAUAUCCCCCAGGGAGCUGAGCCUUAGGUUUUGUGACAGAAUUUGAGGCAGUGAAUGCUGACCCA